RNAcentral lists this ribosomal RNA (371 nucleotides) under uncultured organism. RNAcentral's name for it is "partial 16S ribosomal RNA". It matches the Rfam family "Bacterial small subunit ribosomal RNA", at positions 526 to 896 of the family's 1533-position model. The record is from RNAcentral.
GUAGGGUGGCAAGCGUUGUCCGGAAUUAUUGGGCGUAAAGCGCGCGCAGGUGGUUCUUUAAGUCUGAUGUGAAAGCCCCCGGCUCAACCGGGGAGGGUCAUUGGAAACUGGGGAACUUAAGUGCAGGAGAGGAAAGUGGAAUUCCACGUGUAGCGGUGAAAUGCGUAGAUAUGUGGAGGAACACCAGUGGCGAAGGCGACUUUCUGGCCUGUAACUGACACUGAGGCGCGAAAGCGUGGGGAGCAAACAGGAUUAGAUACCCUGGUAGUCCACGCCGUAAACGAUGAGUGCUAGUGUUGGGGGGUUUCCGCCCCUCAGUGCUGCAGCUAACGCAUUAAGCACUCCGCCUGGGGUGUACGGUCGCAAGACCG